This 22366-nucleotide long non-coding RNA is filed under the name Sorghum bicolor (sorghum). RNAcentral's name for it is "long non-coding RNA (SBIC_LNC016206)". Lineage: Eukaryota; Viridiplantae; Streptophyta; Magnoliopsida; Poales; Poaceae. The record is from RNAcentral.
AUAUGCCCCAGCAGACUUCGUAGUGGUAGAGAUCGGAAAUGAUGAGAGAGCACCCAUCAUCUUAGGGUGGCCAUUCUUGAACACCACGGGAGCUAUCAUCUACGCUAGUGCUGCCAAGAUCAGUUUCUACGUCAAAGGGAAGAAUGAGACAUUUUUCUUCAAGAACAAGACUACACAAAUUCCAAAUCAAUCCAGACGUGAGUCAAGGAAGAGGACCAACAGGAGAAACAGGAACAAGCAAGUGUGGACCGAGUCAGCUAAGAUGGUCACUGUAGUUCAUGGAGGCCAAGAUCACCAACUUAAGUCACCGUUUUGACCAAGAAGGACGAACCAGGAAUGCCAAGCAUUUACUGCUCCAUAAAUGGAUACAACUUCUACAAGACGAUUUGCGACACCGGAUCGGGCGUCAACAUAAUGGCCGCAGUCACCUAUCGGCUCUUCUUCGGAACCAUGCCACUAAGACCAACAUACAUUCAGCUCCAGAUGGCAGAUCAGACAUUUCGAGAAGUUAAAGGAAUAGUAAUUGAUGUCCCAGUCAAAAUAGACGAUCACUUUGUCUACAUAGACUUUCAAGUUAUUGACAUGGGAGAAGAUGAAUACGAUCCACCCAUCAUCCUUGGAAGACCGUUCCUCAGCACCGUCAAAGCAAUUAUCUACAUUGGAACCGGAGAAGUCCAUAUGCACUUCCCCUCAAAGAAGGUACGCCGUUAUUUUAUUGACCCUGACUAUAUCGUUGAAGAAUCUAAGUAGGUCAGAAAGAGACGCAACCGCAACCAGAGGAGGCAGAUCAUCAAGGAUGGAUGGGCAGACUAUGAAGGUGAAGUUGUAAGAUCAGAAGACGUUGAGUUUAAACAGAAUUAUCCAGAGGAGAUUGAAGCACAGAGUCGGGUAUGGAAAAUGAAGAUAACUAUACAUGAAGAAGAGGCGCUGCCGGAAGUACCGACUACGCCACCCAACGAACCUCAGGACGAUUAAGAGAAUGGAGAGUCCCGUUCGGAGGACUUAAAAACACCGAACGCCUUGCCAAGAGGUAAACUUGGUAGUUAUCCUUUCCCUUUCAAUUAUUUAAAUAGUUUACUUAGUUAAUUAAGUACACACUAUCCUAAAAAGAAAAUAAAAAUAUGAAAAACUGUAAGCCCCAUGUGAGUAGACGAGUGGCAUAAAACCCAUAAGUACAUUCACUGUGGUGGCAUAAAAAUAAAAUAAAUAUUUUUCUGCUUUAUAAAAACAAAAAUAUAAAAACAGGGAGUAAUAAUUAUUGAGGAGUCUCAACAUAAUAAAGGCUAGAUAUUUAUGCUAACACUUAAUCAGUUCCACAAGCUUUGUUGUCUAUUUGAGCUCCACAGAAUUUACGAAUCAAGAAGACUAGCAGACGGAGGACAUUCUAAUUGCUGUCAGAAUACUGCUGACUUUCAAAUACACCUCUACCACCUGCUAGCUACAUCAAGAGAAAUUACGUCAAAAUUCAGCUUGGGGGAGAGCACCCCCAUUUAUCUCACUAAGUAUUUCUAUCUAUCUUUAUACUUAUAUUAUAUUAGAAUAUUAAAAUACAUAAAUAUAAAAAAAACCAAAUAAAGAGUUUGUGCUUAUAUAUAUAUGUCUUUUGCUUAGUAUGUUUAAUAAAUAAAUAAAGUGGCUAUGCUAAUCUGUAUCUAAAUAAAACUUAAGCAUGGAUAUGAUGAAUAGUUGCUCUGCCUAAUUUGCACAUUUUAAGUUCUCUCUCAAGUUUAGAUAUAACUGUUAUAAUUUAAGGCUUGCUCUAGACCCAAACUUGUGGGAUGAAAACUUGAUCUGAAGUCUAAGUUGUUAACGGAUAUGAUAUGGGAAGGUUGAGCUGCUGUUUAUCUGUUCCUAGAGAUGCUAGAAUUUUGGAGAAUUUUAUUUUUGAAAAUCUUUAAAAUGUUGCAUGAUGAGUUCCUGUAUGAUGAGAGUUUAAAUUCCUACCACAGCCAUAUAUACAUGCUUGCUAGACUUUGAGCCACACAUUUAAUAUUUACUGCUUAUGAGCAUUGAGUGUGGUCAAGCUGUGUAGACCCUUAGGAGCUUGUCAUGUGGUUAAAUCAAGAUUUCACUUGCACGUUCACUCAUAUAUGCUACUUCUACUCCGGAAGUACCAUCCACAUAUAUCCAUCCAUUUCCAUCUCCAGAAUGACCCAAAAAUAUUCUACUCCUAAUCCGGGAGAGAAUAACCAAAAAUAUUUUUGUUUCCCCUUGUGAAAUAAAUGUUCAAGUUAUCUUGUUACUACCACUUGCUAUAUUAUCUCAAGAGAUGAAUGCUCUGAAAAAAAAAGAAAAAAAGAUACGAGGAAAUAAAAAGGAGCAAGUGCUCGGAACCUCGAAAGAAUAGAAAAAGUGAGACGAGAGGUAAAAAUGGACAAGUGUCCGACAGUAGAAUUAGGGGUACAAGAUACCCACCUGAGAGGAAAGAAAAAGAAGAGCAUCUCAUUCUCCUCAUAAAGUUUCAAAAAGCAAGAAAGGUAUGUAUUCCCUCAAAGAGCAAAGUAGAAUUAGACUUCCACCACCAUUGUUAUCACCAUUAUCAUCAUACACCAUUCAUUCGCCACACAUGCACAUCUUGAUUUGACUUAUUGAUUUGUUUCUUUGGAUCCAUGGUUUGACUAUGCAACAAAUGUCUUGUAAUUAUGUAUAUUUUUAUCUCCCACCUAUGAGCUCCAGAUAUUAAAGCCUUGUUAGAGUAGGGUGAGAGAGAAGACAAUGUCACUAUGCUUCAUACCACAAAUACUACCUAUCUUGAGAGAAGGCAUAUACCAUCACUGCCUUGGUAAGGAUCCAAAAAUACCACAAAAGAGAGACCUGAGAGAAUCAUACAAGGAAUCUCUGAGUUUUAUUUGAAAAUCUGCAAAAACCCCAGAGCUAUAGCUGAUCAAGAAUGAGAGACAUGGCACUUGGCUAGACUGUUCUAUCUUUUAACUACUCAAGACAGAAGUGACGGUUACAAGUCCCAUGGUGAAGGUAAAGUAAGUAAGUUUUAAGUCUUGACAGUUUACUCUAACUCAGAGAUGAGAUCUUAUUUAAGAGCAUAUGUACCAUCAAUUUUUAAAGAUUUUGCAAUUAUUUCUGAUCCAUAGCUGAGUCUAUCCUUGCUCAGGAACGAGCAAGAGGUAAACUUGGGGGAGUUUGUUGACGGUCCUUAAGUAUUCCACGAGUUAAUAAAUAAAGAAAAGGAUCCAAAUGAAAUCAAAAUCUAGACUUAGGGUUUUACCUGACAGAAUUCCACGAGUUUUGGUGUUUGUCUAUUUCUGCAGGGGGUUAUCAGGAAAUAUGAAAGAAAGGCCCACACGUCGGGAUUACGUAAAGAUAUUAACGUGCCGCGCAAUUAUCUUACAUCUAGAAGACUCCAGAAGCCACGAGACCGAAGCGGAGGCGAAACGGGGCCUGACCCUGGGCGCCCGCCCAGUUGGUCAGGGCGCCCGCCCUGCCCCUGAGUCCAAUCAGGACUCUGCUUUGCGGGAGAUUUCCACCGACCAAAAGGAUGAAUCUAAACCAUACAAUCUAUGUCGGUUUGAUCCAAUGGCCCAUAUUCACUUGAAGGGACUAUAAAACCAGACCCCCUGGCCCCUGGAGGAGAGAGCCUCUCAACCCUAAUUCAUUGUUCCAUCAAGGGAGAAGAAGCCUCUGAUCAAGAUUAGAGCCACCACAUCAAUUAGACAUCUAGAUUAGCAUAGCUACAUAGGAUUAGAACUAGAAGGAGUCAAUCUUCGAUUGGUUUUCGGAUCUGUCAAGAGGAUUCUUGGUAAUUCUCUAAUUGUGCUUCUAAUUGCUUUCUAAUUAUCUUUGUUCUUCAAUAUUAUGAAUAUGACUUUGUUCUACUUCAAUAUAUUGCUUAUGACUUUGCUCUACUUGCUUAUAUUCAAGAUUAUAUUGUUCUUAGUUUAUCAUAGUUAUGUACUUGGCUUAGUUAGAUUGGAUCUAUAUACAUGCUUAGGAUCGUAUAGCGUUUAUCCAUCGGAUCCAUGGGUAAAUGAUAGAUAUUGUGUAGGCGUGGUGCUUAUACCGUAUUUAUCUGUGAUUGUACCCAAUAUGCCAGAUUGUGGGGUAGUUCGUGAUAGUGACAGCUUCAUUGAUUCUUAUAUAGUCCCCCUCUCGUGUAUUGGGCUGGCAGAGCAACAUUAUUACAGGGGAGUGAUUGCUAUGUUUCUCAUAUUCCUUGCUAAUAUCACUAUGCAUGGGCGUAGUCUUGUCUCACAAUGAUUGCUAAGUAUGCUUGCACUAACUAUGAUAUGCUAGACUAUAUAGUUAAGAAUAACUUAGGGAAUAUUCUUGUAGUUCAUUCUAAUACCAUGCUAAUGACUUUCUAGAGUAUCUAAUUGAGGUGCUUAUCAUAUUUAUUAUGUGGCUAGAUCAGAUUAAUUAUCCUUGUCACUAUUAUUAUUUCAUAUAUCUUUUAUGUGACACUUAUCCCUGUAUGAAGAGUUAGAUAAAUGUUCUCAAUUAUACAUGCAAUGAUAGAUGCUCAAUCUUAUAUUCUAUUCUGUAAUCAAUAGUGAUGAUUGCUAAUCCCUUCCCAGUGGUAAAAAUAUAAAAAACGAUAUCUGGAAUACUUCCCGGUUAAAAUGCUACAUCGGUAUUAAUCUGUGCGCUUGCAGAUCCCAUUCAUUAUUUAUUUAGAAGAGCAAUUGCAUAUUUCAAUACCGUGUCUCUUAUAUCAUGCUGGGGAUGACAACUUGGCUUAAGUGGUGUGAGGGAUAGGUUUGGCAUUUUUGGCACCGUUACUAGAUUUAGAGAACUUAGUCUACUUUUGGUAAAUGAUGUUAAGAAUACCCAACAGUGAGUUUAUCUCAGGACCUCCCAGGUUGAUAUUGAAAGUUUUCCUGUAGGGGUUAGUCCAACAAAAUAUCCAAUAUCUACUAUAGCAUACUAUCGGCGCAAAGAUCAACCUAGACACCAUGUCUAAUUUGAUUUAGGAGGGCAUUUUAACCUAAGCAUCAUGCUUAAUUUAAACUCCCUUGGAAGUAAGAUCAUCAGCCCUAAACUAAGCACCAUGCUUAAUUAAGAGAUAAAUGAAACUACUCCAAGCCUAGACAUAUACUAAAGCAAAUAAAGGUAGUAUGAGAGCAUUUAUAGAGAUCUACUCAAGUGGAGAUGAAGUAGUGUGAUUAGUAUUUAAUAAAUUGAGCAUGUCUCAAAGGUAGGGACAACCAACAUAGCAACAUAGCAAAGGAUGUUUUUAUGUAAAGUACUACCCCAAGCUUGAAUUUUGCAAAAUUCAAGUUUGGAUGAAUUUAAUUCAAUGUUGCAUGAUGAUUGGUUGGACAUACCUUAUGCUUGUCAUUCAUCCGAUAUUCUUGCUCCAAUCCUGGAAAGGUUAGUGACAAGAAUACCCGAAGGAAUAUUUUUACAAUUAUCCUUAUAUGCUCAACACACAAGGUAAUGUUGCAAAUAAUUAAAAGCUCAUGUUACAAUCUGAUCAGUGCUUGUUUUAGGACACUAAGCUUGUCCUUGGGAAACCAUUAAUUUAAAGUGGUUUCCCCUCCAACACUGACCUAUAUCAAGAUUAAUUCAACGAGAACUGCAAUAUUUAAUAUAGACAUAUGCAUCGACAACCGCCCUUUUAAGGUUUUUAUAAAUAGAAAGGAUGAGGGGGUUGGAGAUCUCGAAUGUGGUGAUGUUGGAAAAACCAAUGGAUUGGGAAGAUGUUGCAUAUGAGCAUGGAGAAAAUGAAGUGGCUAUAAAAUAAAUUCCAUGCUCAUUAAUGCUUAGAGUGAAAUCCAUGUGGUAUGGUGAAAAUGAUAAGGUGAGUGUGGUAAAAAAAGGAAAAGAAAAAGGAUACACGGACGACUUGGUUCGAAACUAGCACAACUACCGUUCCCCGGCAACGGCGCCAGAAAGCUUGUUGGGUAUUUUAAACGCAAACAGAAAAAUCCGCAAGCGCACGGAUACCGAUGUAGCCUUCACCCGGGAGUAUUCCAGAGUAUCGAUUUUCCACAGAGAACGUGAGUGUACUAAUUAAGAUCCAAGAUCGCCCUUUGGUGGGAAGAGAGGAAGUUUCCUGAGAGUUCUCUAGUUGAUCUAAGAAUCAAGAAUUACUUCAAAGAUUAUUUAUAUCGGGACAUCAGAGCACUAACCAUAGAAAGAGAUGAGAAGGGGGCUAGGAAGGUCUGACUACGGUCCUACAAACACCGAUCCGAACGUGGUGGAAUACGUCGACCGUUAGGGCUGUCACUACCCUAAGGCUACCACAACAAUCCACAGGAUUGGGUGCAAUUCCAGGUAAUUGCAAGACUAAACACCACGUCUAAUCUAUUAAUUACUACCCUAAUGUUAUAAAGACUAGAGCACUUGAUGCAAGCAGGAAUCCAAUAAAUAACUUGAAUGUAAAUAAAAGUAAUUAAAGAACUCAGGAAUUGUGAAUUGAAGAACCUAGAGAACGAUGAAGAACGAACCAGUUGCUGCAAAAGUACAAUGUUAAGGAAGAUCCGACAGAUCCGGCUCCUCCUCCGCUCUCCUCUUCUCUCUCCCUAUUUUCUAGAUUACAACUAGAACUAGAGGAACUAGAACUAGAACUAGAUGAACUACAACUAGAUCUAGAUGAACUAGAGGUAGAACUAGAAGAACUAGAGGGAUCCUCUCUACUUGGAUGAAGAAUUGAAACCCUAACUUUGAUUCUGUAGAAGAGGUAUGAUCUCCAGGGGCCAGGGGGUAUGGUUUUAUAGUCACUUCAAGUGAAUCUGGGCCGUUGGAUCAAACCAACAUUGAUUGAACGGUUAUCCUUGAUCCUUUAGGUCGGUGGAGCAAUAUCCCGAAAGAGAGUCCUGAUUGGACUCUGGUUGACAGCGGGCGCCCAGGAGAGGAGGGCGGGCUCCCUAUCCCUGAGUCCUCUCGGCCUCCGCUUUGGUCCCGUGGCUUCUGGAGUCUUCUAGAUGAUAGAAAAUUGUGCGGCACGUUAAUAUCUCUAUGUAAACCCAACGUGUGGGCCUUUCUUCCGUAUUUCCUGAUAACCCCCUGCAGAAAUAGACAAACACCAAAACUCGUGGAAUUCUGUUAGAUAAAACCCUAAGUCUAAGUGUUGGUUGCAUUUGGAUCCUUUUCUAUAAUUAGUUGAUGGUUAAAUAUGAGCAUUAAGGACCAUCAACAGUCUCCUAGCUUUCAUAUCCUUCAGAAAGAGAAAAUACCAGUUCCUAGACAAGAAGAAGAAGUUUCGAUAGCCAGAUCACAACCACUACGAUCCCAAACUUUAGCUAUCGAUCUUAAACCAUCAAUACCCCAAAAUUCUCCAAGGGAGGAAGGAAUUCCGACCUUAAAUCUUUCAGAUACUGAUGGUUUAGACUUCUGGUUCCAUAAGAGACCUUCAAGCAGGGAUAAUUCAAUUCCUUGCAAUAAUGGUUCUCUUAGAGAAUGUCCUGGUUCCUGUUAUGAAGAAGUCGAGGAUGACAUAUCAAGUGAAGGAGAGCUAAGCCAUAUAGAAAAUUCUAUCUGCUUCCCUUCCAUGUUCACAAGUUCUAAAUCCAUCCUUGACCUUAGAGAUCCCUCUUAUCCCUCUUCUUUUCACUCUCACGAUGAUCCUAGCAAUUCACCAAGAUGACCAAACCAUAGGAGUCAUGAAGACCAUAAGUUUGGCAUGUCAAGUAAUGCCAUAGAAGGAGAGCUAAGCUAUAUAGAAGAUUCUAUCAGCUCCCCUUUCCUGAUCACAAGUUCUAAAUGGCUAGAAUGUGUAGAAUGGAUGGAUAAGGAAGAAGCCUUAAUGGAUUCUGACUUUGGCUCAAUUUCAAAUGGUGAGUUCUUGACUACCUUUGAAGAUGAGAUUCAUCCAACUAUAGAAGAGAGCAUAGGUGAGACCAAUCUAGGAGAAACUCCGAACAUUUAGAUUGGAGACGAAGAUAACAUUAAUGAGCAUGGAAUUUAUUUCAUAGCCAUUUCAUUUACUCCAUGCUCAUAUGCAACAUCUUCCCAAUCUAUUGGUCUCUCCAACAUCACCACAUUUGAGAUCUCCAACCCCCUCUUCCUUUCUAUUUAUAAAAACUUUAAAAGGGCGGUUGUCGAUGCAUAUGUCCGUAAUAAAUAUUGCAGAUCUUGUUGAAUUGAUCUUGAUAUAGGUCAGUGUUGGAACGGAAACCACUUCACCGACAUAAAUUGAUGGUUUCCCAAGGACAAGCUUAGUGUCCUAAAAUAAGCACUGAUUAGAUCGUAACAUGAGCUUUUUGCAAUAAUACCUGGUGUAUUGAGCAUAUAAGGACAAUUGUAAAAAUAUUCCUUCGGGUAUUCUUGUCACUAACCUUUCUAGGAUUGGAGCAAGAAGAUCAGAUGAAUGACAAGCACAAGGUAUGUCCAACCAAUCUUCAUACAACAUUGAAUUGAAUUCAUCCAAACUUGAAUUUUGCAAAAUUCAAGCUUGGGGGAGUACUUUACAUAAAAACAUCCUUUGCCAUGUUGCUAUGUUGGUUGUCCCUACCUUUGAGACAUGCUCAAUUUGUUAAAUACUAAUCACACUACUUCAUCUCCACUUGAGUAGAUCUCUAUAAAUGCUGUCAUGAUACCUUUGUCUAUUUACUAGUAAGUGUUAGUUUGGAAGUACUGCACAUACUUCUAUUGGCUUUUAAAUUAAGCAUGGUGCUUAGGUUAAACAGCCUUCCUUAAUCUGAUUAGACAUGGAGUCUAGUUCGGUAUUGAACUAAAAACUGUUUGCGUAGACAUUGGUAUAUUUUUGUCGAACUAACCCCUGCAGAAAAACUUUCAAUAUCGAUUUGGGAAGUCCUGAGAUAAACUCACAUCAAAGAUGAAGAGAGUGACACAUGAAGUUUAACAAUUUGCACAAGAAGGACAUAGCUCAUUCAUCAUACAUAGAUGAUCCAUGGAAGGAGACAAAGUACAUAAACAAGAUACACAACCACUACGAAAGGAAAGCUUCCACAAGGUGAUACUAUACCAUCACUCUUCAAGUAAGGUAACAUCUUAAGAUAUCUGACUAUCACUUUUAUAAGCUUCACCUUGGUUCUGGCGUUCACAUAAAUAAAGAGACAAACAUGUAUGAUUUAUAACUCCAAAUUAACCAACCCAACUGAUUCAACAUGUUUAGUCCUUCCACUUUUGUGAUCCCACACUCCUAAUCAUAUGAGCUACAAUAUUGCACAUUCAAUCUUUGAGAGAUAUAAAGAAAAAGACAUAUACAUAGAUAGAUUAUCUUUCCAUAAGGUUGAGCGAUCUGAUCUGACAAAUGUUUUAAAUACUACACUCAUGAUCUUAUUAUCCAUCACCUUUGUCUUGUUCACUAUGCUUAAGGUUAGAGAAGAACAAAUACACUUUUGGUUCUGUUGGUGUUUUCCACCAACAGGGCCCAUGCACUUGAUAUCUGCCUUGUCUCUAUGAGCAGGACACAUUUUGAGAAACAUGGAGGAGUUUUACAACUCUCAGAUUCCACCAAGUGAAGGACCUGGAUCUACGAGCAUAAACACACUGAGCAAGAUACUGCCAACGCCGCACUUUGAACUACUAGGCAAAUGAAGAACAUGGGUGACACCAUAUCAAGAGGUGCAGACAUCAAGGUCCACACCUGAAUCAAAUGACGCACCUGAAGUAUGAACACGGUGAGGAGUCUUGUUCAGAAGACUUAAAACAUUGAACCCUUGCCGAAAGGUAAAAUCGGUAGUUAUCCAUAUUUAUCCUUUCUGCAUUCCCUUUUCCCUUUAAUUAUUUACUUUCCUUAAAUGGCUUGUUAGUUAAUAAUGCUAUCUUGAAAAGAAAAUAAAAAAGUUAGUAAGCCCCAUAUGAGUAUGCUCGUGGCAUAAAACCCAUAAGUACAUUCACUGUGGUGGCAUAAGAAUAAAAUAAAUAUAUUCCUGUCCUAUAAAAAUGAAAAUAUAAAAAUAAGAUUGUGAUCCCACUAAAGAGAAUAAUAUUUAUUAGAGGAAGCUCAACAUGAUAAAGGCUAAGAGAUUUUAUGCUAACACUUAACCAGUUCCACAAAGCUGUGUUGUCUAUUUGAGCUCCACAGAAUUCAAGGAUCAAAUAAGACUAGCAAACGGAGGACAUCCUAAUCGCUGUUAGGGUGCUGCCGACAUUCAAAUACACCUCCGUCACCUGCUAGCUACAUCAGAAGAAAUUAUGUCAAAAUCCAGCUUGGGGGAGAGCACCCCCAUUUAUCUAGCUAAGUGUUUCUACUCAUGUUUAUACUUUACUCAAAUAAUAAAAAGAUGCAUAAUCAUAAAAAACCCAAAUAAAGAUUUUAUGCUUAUAUAUAUCUUUGCUUAGUUUGCUAAAUAAAUAAAUAAAGUUUGCUAUGAAGCCUCAUGAUAAGCUCUCACAUGGAAAUGAUGAAUAGUUGCUCUGCCAUGACUAGUUCUCAAAAUAGAAUUCUCUCUCAAGUUUAGGCAUGAUUGUUAUGAAUUAAGUUUUGCUCUAAACCUGAACUUGUGGGAAGAGUACUUGAUCUAAAGUAUAAGUCGUUAACAAAUAUGAUAUGAGAAGGUUGAGUUGCUAUUUAUCUGUUGUUAGAGAUGCUAGAAUUCUGGAGAAUUUUAUCUUUGAAAAUCAUUAAAAUGUUGCAUGAUCAGUUCCUGUAUGAUGAGAGUUUAAAAUCCUACCACAGCCAUAUAUACAUGCUUAUUAGACUAUGAACCAUACAUUUACUUUUUACUACUUAUGAGCAUUGAGUGUGGUCAAGUUGUGUAGACCCUUAGGAGCUUGUCAUGCGAUUAAAAUCAAGAUUCACUUGUACAUUCACUCAUACAUGCUGCUUCUACUUCGGAAGUACGCAUCCGCAUACAUCCAUUCAUUUCCAUCUCCAGAUUCACCCAAAAUUAUUCUACACCUAUCCAGGAGAGAAUAGCCAAAAACAUUAUCCUAUCCCUGUUAUUCCCCGUGAAAUAAAUGAUCUUGAUAUUUUGGUUACUACCACUUGCUACAUCAUUCUAGGAGGGUGAGUGCUCUGAAAAAAGAGUGAAUACGAGGAAAUAAAAAGGGGCAAGUGCCCAGAACCUCGAAGAAAAAGAAAAAGUGAGACGAGAGGUAAAAAUGGACAAGUGUCCGACAGUAGAAUUAGGGGUACAAGAUACUCACCUGAGAGAAAAGAAAAAAUAUAUAGAGCAUCUCAUUUCCUUCAAAAAGCUUCAAAGUGCAAGAAAGGUAUGUAUCCCCUCAAAAGAGCAAAAGUAGAAUUAGAAUUUCACCAUUGUUUUCACCAUUAUCACCAUCAUCACCGUACACCAUUCAUCCGCCACACAUGCACAUCUUGAUUUGACUUAUUGACUUGUUUCUCUGGAUCCAUGGUUUGACUAUGCAAUAAAUGUCUUGUAAGUAUGUAUUAGCUGUCUCCCACCUAUGAGCUCCAGAUAUCAAAACCUUGUUAGAGUAGGGUGAGAGAGAAGGCAAUAUCAUUAUGCCUCAUACCACAAAUACCACAUACUUUGAGAGAAGGCAUAUACCAUUACUGCCUUGGAAAGGAUCCAGAAAUACCACAAAAGAGAGACUAGAGAGUGUCAUACAAGGAAUCUCUGAGUUUUAUUUGAAAAUCUACAAAAAACCAGAGCUAUAGUUGAUCAAAGAACAACAGACAUGGUGCUUAACUCGACCGUUCUAUCUUUUAACUACUCAAGACACAAGUGACGGUUGCAAGCCCCAUGGUGGAAGGUAAUAUGAGUAAUUUUAAAUCUUAACAGUUUACCCUAACCUAGAGAUGAGAUCUUGUUUAAAUGCAUGUGUACCUUUAAGGCAUAAAACCACUGUAGAAACUCUUGAGUCCAUCCUUGCUUAGGGACGAGCAAGAGGUAAGCUUGGGGGAGUUGUUGACGGUCCUUAAGUAUCAAAUUUAAUCAUCAAAUAAAUAAAGAAAAGGAUCCAAAUGCAACCAACACCCAGACCUAGGGUUUUAUCUAAUAGAAUUCCACAAGUUUUGGUGUUUGUCUAUUUCUGCAGGGGGUUAUCAGGAAAUAUGGAGGAAAGGCCCACAUGUCGGGUUUACAUUGAGAUAUUAAUGUUCCGCACAAUUUUCUAUCAUCUAGAAGACUCCAGAAGCCACGGGAACAAAGCGAAAGCCGAGAGAGCUCAGGGACAGGGCGCCCGCCCAAGUCCUUAGGGCGCCCGCCCACCUAUUUCGGCCAAUCACGCUCAAUCUCGCGGAUUACGCUCCACCGACCUAAAGGAUCAAGAAUAACCGUUCAAUCAAUGUUGGUUUGAUCCGACGGCCCAGAUUCACUUGAGGGGACUAUAUAACCAGACCCCCUGGCCCCUGGAGGAGGCACCCCUUGAUCAUUAUUCAUUAUUCAUAGACAGAGCAAAAGCUAGGGUUUGGAGAUGAGAGCUCUCCUCUCAUCUCUAAACUAGAGUAGAUCUAGAUAGUAGCAAGAUGGAGAGCGAGGGGGGAUUGGAGGAGAGGCCGGCCUGUCGGUUCUUCCUCCGGUUGUACUUCGUCAUGAUCAAGCCCUAAUCAAGCUUGCUCAUGGGAUGACUCUGGUAAUCUACUUCUCAUUCAUUAUGCAAUUACUAAUCAUGUAUGUUCUGGUUCACAACUCUUUUGAGUACUUUAAUCUAUAGGAUGCUAUAGGUUAGAGUUGUAGUAUAGGUGUAAGCGUGGUGCUUAGACCUAGAUUACUUGUGGAUAUCCCCUGUCUAGCUGGAUCGUGUGGUAGGCCGCGUAGGUGACAGUUACGUUGGUCCCCUAUAGUCCACCUCUUGUUAGCAGGACGGGUAGGGUUUAUCAGCCUAUGGAUAAGCAUCCUUUGUGGUGUAUUCUUAUCACGUGGUUCGUCCCAGACAUAGACAUGCCCCUUUGAAGUAGAGAAACCAUAGUUAUCCUCUCUAUUCUGCUACCAUCGCCCAUAUACUAGAUUGCUCUACUCUCUAUUCCCAUAUUAUCACCCAUUGUUAUCUUACCUUUAAUAUUGUUCUUAUUCAAUUCUACCAUCUUUCCUAUUUAUACUUAUCUAUCUAUCUAGGUUAAGUUAGAGCAUAGUUGGUUCUCCCAUUUCCCUGUGGAUACGAUAAAACCUUUGACCGGGUAAAAGCUAUAACGGUAUCCGUGCGCUUGCGGAUUUAUCUGUGUGUGUAUAAAUACCAUAGUACACUCUAGUGCCAUAUUGGGGAUGACAACCAAGUAUUCAAGUGGUGUUAGCAAGUGUCAACAUCUAGAUUCUAUAAGCUUCCCUAAUAGAACAGUAGAUCAUCCUUACCAAGGUUAGAAAGAGAUUAUGGUUGUAGUCUUCUCUAUAUAUCACUCACAACGAGAAACAUUCUUUGUAGCCUAAAGGUUAGUAGUAAUAGACUGGGUUAGUCAGAUGCACCCUUUCUCCUAGUGGUAAAAAAAUAAAUACGAUACUCUGGAUUACCUCUCGGGUGAAGUGCUCACCGAUAUCCGUGCGCUUACGGAUCAAUUUCUUAUUGCGUUCCCAAAUAUCAACAGAGACAAGGUCCCGACCCCCCUCUAGCUGAAGAAGAUAGGGCCCCAACUCCAGCCCCAGCGGAGGCUUCCACGCCUGAGGGCUCCCCUAGCCGGGGUAAGGGUCCUAUGAUAGCCAUUACCGUAGCUGGGGGUAGCGCGGAGGGCGAGGAGGCCCAGGCGGUCUCCGAUGACGAAGUGGAGGAAAUCCAGGGGGGUCCCCACGAUGGUCGCCAACAUGUUUACAUGUGGCGCCAGCGUGGGGACCACUGGGCCGGCCACGAGGAGAUCGCCGAGACCGAGGAGGCGGCGAGGGUAUAGCGCGCUGCUAAGUGUCUCGUUGAUGAAGUUAAGGUGAGUGGUCUUAUAUUCUGCUGGAGUAUGUAUAUACUAUUGCUUGUUCACUUUGUGAUAUGUAUAUUUCUCACAGGGUGCAAUGAAAACAGCGAAGUACCGAAAAAGUUGCUUCAACCAAAUUGAAGGUGUGGUCGCCGAAAACAAGGCCUUAACUGCAGAGUUGGACCGCCUUCGGCUGGAGGCCGAAAGGGAGGCAGUCGAGAAGGCGGCUCAGGAAGAGCGUCUUUUGGACCUGAAUCGGCGGCUAGCCGAUAAGGACUGUGAGAAGAGGGGUAAGUCGAGUGAUCCGAGCAGUUGCAAUUAUCUGUGUGGUCGGUUUUGACGCCGAGAAACAAUUGUUACUUCAGGUCUGGAGGAGGAGAUCGAACGUCUUCGAAAAGAGAGGGACCAGCUUGACCAAGAACGUACCAGUGCGCUAGAGACCGAGUGCAAGGUUGGCGAGGAGCUGAAGAAUAGGAAUCGGGAGCUAGCUAGUAAGAGCUGUUUCAUCCUUUUCGACCACGCAGCAGUUCUCUCUCUUUUUUAUACUGCCGUAGCAUGUUGCUGACUGUUUGUUUGAUUUUUCUUGAAAACUUUUGCAUAGUGCUUAAAGCCAACACCAAGAAGCACCUCGAUGAGCUGGUCAAGGAAUGGGACUCCUAGAAGAUGAACUGCAUCAAGCUCUGGAAAGGAGUUGCCCCAGUACUUGACCUAAUCAGCCCCGAGCUACCCGAGGACCAGCCCCACGUGCCAAAAUUGACCCCUGUUGAGAAGGCGCAGCAAGCAUGGGGCUAGCUUCAGCAGUUCAUCAAGUAUGCCAGGGAGUUUGCCGGAGCGCACAUCCUCACCAUGUUACGUGCUCACUACCCCCUCGUCGAUCUGUCUCGGCUAGAGAUGCGAUAUCUGAAGGAGGUUGGUCCAAAGGAGGCAGAUGACCAUCGCGUCAGCCUGCUCGACCUAUCAUCGACGGUGAUCGGCGAUAUAAACCUCUGCGGGACGUCCACCCCCCCCCCCGCGAUCAGCCGAGAUCAGAUAGGUCGGCUAGGGAGUUGUCAGGGGCGUCGAUAGUAGGAGAUGGGCGGUCGACGCUUGCGAUCUCGACCAGCCAGGCGCCGGUGGCCCCGACCCCUUCGGCGGGACGAGAGAGACGUGCGGGUGAUUAGCCCGAGGAGUAGGUUCGUAGAGUAGUCUCUAGGAGUAGACUAGAAAUGGCCCAGAGGGGUGUUUAUUGUAAACUUUGUAUGUAAAGUUUGUAAUAAAGUCCGAAUUUUGAGAACCAUGGUUUUGAGCGCUGUGAAUAAAUUUGCUUGAGUGAUGUAUCACUGAAUCAUGUUGAUUGCCCUUGAGGAGCUUGUCAAGGAAAGUUAUUGUAGCACUUGUCGAGUGUUCUGCAUAUGUAAAAGUAUAUAGCAAAAAGGCAAACUUUAUUAUUAUUCAUCAAAAAAGAUUUACAAGUAAAAUGUACUGAAACUUAGGGAUAGAAGCGUCGUAGUUUGUCUAUGUGCCAGGAGUUGGGUAGGUGUGUUCCAUCUAGGUACGCCAGUCUGUAAGAUGUAGGGCGUGUAACUUCGGCGACCACAAAAGGUCCCUCCUAGGGUGUAGAUAACUUGUGCAUUCCCUCCUCACUUGUUUUCCAUUUGACUACCAGAUCACCGAACAUGAAGGAGCGGUCUUUGACGUUCUUAUUGUGGUAUCGUCUAAUGGCCUUGAGAUACUUUGCUGUUCGAAGGUAGGAAGUCAGGCAUCUCUCUUCUAUGUAGUUGAUUUCGAGUUCUCUGGCGAGGUCUACUGAAGACUGGUCGAAAUGUUCGACUCUUGGAGAUCCAAAGGCUACGUCCGAGGGGAGCACUGCCUCGACCCCAUAAACCACAAAAUAGGGGGAUACAACCAUGUUUCGACUAGGCUGUGUUCAGAGACCUCACACCACGGCUGGUAACUCUUUCAUCCACCAUCCUGGUGUUGACGGUCCUUAAUGCUCACAUUUAACCGUCAACUAAUCAUGGAAAAGGAUCUAAAUGGAACCAACACCUAGACUUAGGGUUUUAUCUGACAGAAUUCCACGAGUUUUGGUGUUUGUCUUUUUGUGCAGGGGGUUAUCAGGAAAUAUGGAAGAAAGGCCCACAUGUCGGGUUUACAUAGAGAUAUUAACGUGCUGCGCAAUUUUCUACCAUCUAGAAGACUCCAGAAGCCACGGGAACAAAGCGGAAACCGAGAGGACUCAAGGACAGGGCGCCCGCCCUCACAUAGAGUCCAAUCAGGACUCUCUUUCGGGAUAUUGCUCCACCGACCUAAAGGAUCAAGGAAAACUGUGUGAUUAAUGUCAGUUUGAUCCAACGGCCCAUAUUCACUUGAAGGGACUAUAAAACCAGACCCCCUGGCACCUGGAGAUCAUACCUUUUCUACAGAAUCAAAGUUAGGGUUUCAAUUCUUCAUCCAAGUAGAGAGGAUCCCUUUAGUUCUAAUUAGUUCUAGUUGUAAUCUAGAAAAUAGGGAGAGAGAAGAGGAGAGCAGAGGAGGAGUCGGAUCUGUCGGAUCUUCCUCAACAUUGUACUUUUGCAGCAAUUGGUUCGUUCUUCUUCGUUCUCCAGGUUCUUCAAUUCACAAUUCCUGAGUUUUUUAAUUACUUUUAUUUACAUUCAAGUUAUUUAUUGGAUUCCCGCAUGCAUCAAGUGCUCUAAACUUUGAAACAUUAGAGUAGUAGUUAAUAGAUUAGACGUGGUGUUUAGUCUUGCAAUUACCUGGAAUUGCACCCAAUCCUGUGGAUUGUUGUGGUAGCCUUAGGGUAGUGACAGCCCUAACGGUCGACGUAUUCCACCUCGUUCGGAUCGGUGUUUGUAGGACUAUAGUCAGACCUUCCUAGCCCCCUUCUCAUCUCUUUCUGUGGUUAGUGCUCUGAUGUCCCGAAAUAGAUAAUCUUGAAGUAAUUCUUGAUUCUCAGAUCAACUAGAGAACUCUCAGGAAACUUCCUCUCUUCCCACCAAAAAUAAUUAUAUAGUUAUCCUUGGGCAAUCUUGGAUCUUAAUUAGUACACUCAUGUUCUCUGUGGAAAAUCGAUACUCUGGAAUACUCCCAGGUGAAAGCUUCAUCGGUAUCCGUGCGCUUGCUGAUUUUUCUGUUUGCGUUUAAAAUACCCAACAAGCUUUCUGGCGCCGUUGCCGGGGAACGGUAGCUGUGCUAGUUUCGAACCAAGUCGUCCGUGUAUCCUUUUUCUUUUCCUUUUUUACCACACUCACCUUAUCAUUUUCACCAUACCACAUGGAUUUCACUCUAAGCAUUAAUGAGCAUGGAAUUUAUUUCAUAGCCACUUCAUUUACUCCAUGCUCAUUUGCAACAUCUUCCCAAUCCAUUGGUUUUUCCAACAUCACCACAUUCGAGAUCUCCAUCCCCCUCAUCCUUUCUAUUUAUAAAAACUUUAAAAGGGCGGUUGUCGAUGCAUUUGUCUAUAUUAAAUAUUGCAGAUCUCGUUGAGUUGAUCUUGAUAUAGGUCAGUGUUGGAGGGGAAACCACUUCGCCGACAUAAAUUGAUGGUUUCCCAAGGACAAGCUUAGUGUCUUAAAAAAAGCACUGAUCAGAUUGUAACAUGAGCUUUUAAUUAUUUGCAAUAUUACCUUGUGUGUUGAGCAUAUAAGGAUAAUUGUAAAAAUAUUCCUUCGGGUAUUCUUGUCACUAACCUAUCCAGGAUUGGAGCAAGAAGAUCUUAUGAAUGACAAGCACAAGGUAUGUCCAACCAAUCAUCAUACAACAUUGAAUUAAAUUCAUCCAAACUUGAAUUUUGCAAAAUUCAAGCUUGGGGGAGUACUUUACAUAAAAUCAUCAUUUGCCAUGUUGCUAUGUUGGUUGUCCCUACCUUUGAGACAUGCUCAAUUUGUUAAAUACUAAUCACACUACUUCAUUUGCACUUGAGUAGAUCUCUAUAAAUGCUCUCAUGCUACCUUUAUUUGCUUUAGUAUAUGUCUAGGUUUGGAGUAGUUUCAUUUAUCUCUUAAUUAAGCAUGGUGCUUAGUUUAGGAAUGAUGAUCUUACUUCCAAAGGAUUUUAAAUUAAGCAUGGUGCUUAGGUUAAAAUGCCCUCCUAAAUCAAAUUAGACAUGGUGUCUAGGUUGAUAUUUGAGCCAAUAGUAUGCUAUAGUAGAUAUUGGAUAUUUUGUUGGACUAACCCCUGCAGGAAAACUUUCAAUAUCGACCAGGGAAGUCCUGAGAUAAACUCACAUUGGAGACAAAGAGAGAGACACAUGAAGUUUAACAAUUUACACAAGGAAGGCAUAGCUCAUAUGAGAUGAUCCAUGGAGGGUGCCACAAACACGAUGCACAACCGCUAAGAAAGGAAAGCUUCCACAAGGUAAUAUUGUACCAUCACUCUUCAAGUAAGGUAACAUCUUAAAGUACUUGACUAUCACUUUUAUAAGCUUCUCCUUGGUUCUGGCGUUCACAUGAAUAAAAGAGACAAACAUGUAUGAUUUACAACUCUAGAUUAACCAACCCAGUCGAUUCAAUAUGUUUAGUCCUUCCACCUUUGUGAUCCCACACUCCUAAUCAUAUGAACUAAAUUGUUGCAUACUCAAUCUUUGGAAGAUACAUAUAAAAAACAUAAGUAUAGAUAGAUUAUCAUUCCAUUAGGUUGAGCAAACUGAUCUGACAAUGUUUUAAAUGCUACACUCAUGAUCUUAUUAUCCAUCAACAUUGUCUUGCUCACUAUUCUUAAGGUUAGAGAAGAACAAAUACACUUUUGGUUCUGUUGGUGUUUUCCACCAACAGGGCUCAUGCACUUGAUCUCUGCCUUGUCUCUAUGAGCAGGUACACUUCGAGCAAAAAUAUGAAGGACUUUUACAACUCCCAGACUCCACCAAGUGAAGAACCUAGAUCUUCGAGCUCAAACACACUGGAGAUACUGGACACUCAGGCAAUCACAGCCCUAAGAUGCUUAAGGACGUAACUUAUGGAGUAACCCUGUUGUGGAGGUAAUUACUGACCUUCUGCCAGUCAAGAGAGGUGAUCCAGGAUGCCCCAUCAUCCCGAUCUCCAUCGGCAUGGUGGACUUCCCAGAAGCACUCUACGACUUUGGCUCCAGCGUCAACAUUAUGCCCAGGGUACUCUAUGAAAAAUUCUUUACACAUCCUUUAUUAGAAACAACCAUGUGUUUGUAGCUUGCAGAUCGUACGCUAAGUUUCCCAAAGGGAAUAUUGAAGAACCUCUGCGUCCGAGUUGGUACCUUGUACGCCCCAGCAGACUUCGUGGUGAUAGAGACUGGUACUGAUGAGAGGGCACCCAUCCUAGGGAGGCCAUUCCUGAACACCUCGGGAGCUAUCAUCUACGCUAGCACUUCCAAGAUCAAUUUCUACAUUAAAGGGAGGAAGGAGGCGUUUUCUUUCAAGAACAAGACUACACAAAUCUCAGAGCAUUCCCGACAUGAACCAAGGAAGAGGACCAACAGGAUGAACAAGAACAAGCAAUUGUCGACCGAGUCAACUAAGAUAGGCACUGCAGUUCAAGGAGGUCAAGAUCAUCGACUUAAGUCACCGUUCCUAACCAAAAAGGAUGACCUAGUCACCUAUCAGCUCCUGUUCGGAACCAUGCCCCUAAAACCGACAUACAUUCAGCUCCAGAUGGCACAUCAGACAUUUUGAAAGGUUGAAGGUUAUUGACAUGGGAGAAGAUGAGUACGAUCCACUCAUCAUUCUUGGGAGACCAUUCCUCAGCACCGUUAAAGCAAUCAUAUACAAUGGAACCAGAGGAGUCCACAUGCAUUUCCCCUCUGAGAAGGUACGCCGCUAUAUAGUUGAAGACUCUAAGCAGGUCAGGACAAGAAGAAGACGACGCAACCAUAACCAGAGGAGGCAAAUCAUCAUGGACGGAUGGGCAGACUAUGAAGGUGAAGUUGUGAGGUCUGAAGACAUACAACUGGACAGAACUGUCCUGAGGAGACCGUAGCACCGAGUCAGGUGUGGAGUGAGAAGAUAGUUAUACAUGAAGAGGAGGCUCCGCCGGAACCACCGACUACACCAUCCAGCGAAUCCCAGGACGACUGAGAAAACGGAGAGUCCCGUUCGGAGGACUUAAAAACACCGAACGCCUUGCCAAGAGGUAAACUUGGUAGUUAUCUUUUUCCUUUCAAUUAUUUUAAAAUAGUUUGCUUAGUUAAUCAGGUUCAUACCAUCUUGAAAAGAAAAUAAAAAUGUUAAAAAUAGUAUGCUCAUGGCAUAAAACCCAUAAGUACAUUCACUAUGGUGGCGUAAAAAUAAAAUAAAUAUAUUCCUAUCCUAUAAAAAUAAAAUUAUAAAAAUAAAUUUGUGAUCCUACCAAAGAGAGUAAUAUUUCUUGAGGAGGCUCAACAUGAUAAAAGCUAGAUAUUUAUGCUAACACUUAACUAGUUCCACAAAGCUUUGUUGUCUACUUGAGCUCCACAGAAUUCAAGGAUCAAAGAAGACUAGCAGACGGAGGACAUCCUAAUCACUGUUAGAGUGCUGCCGACAUUCAAAUACACCUCCGCCACCUGCUAGCUACAUCAGAAGGAAUUACGUCAAAACCCAGCUUGGGGGAGAGCAACCCCAUUUAUCCAGCUAAGUGCCCUACUCAUGUUUAUAUUUUACUCAAAUAAUAAAAAGAUGCAUAAUCAUAAAAACCCAAAUAAAGAUUUUGUGCUUAUAUAUAUAUAUCUUUGCUUAGCUUGCUAAAUAAAUAAAUAAAUAAAGUUUGCUAUGAACCCUCACGAUAAGCUCUCACAUGGAAAUGAUGAAUAGUUGCUCUGCCAUGAUUAGUUCUAAAAAUUGAAAUCUCUCUUAAGUUUAGGCAUGACUGUUAUUAAUUAAGAUUUGCUCUAAACCUGAACUUGUGGGGAGAGUACUUGAUCUAAAGUCUAAGUCGUUAACAGAUACGAUAUGGGAAUGUUAAGCUACUGUUUAUCUAUUCCUAUAGAUGCUAGAAUUCUGGAGAAUUUUUUCUUUGAAAAUCUUUAAAAUAUCACAUGAUAAGAUCCUGUAUGAUGAAAGUUUAAAUUCCUACCACAGCCAUAUAUACAUGCUUGCUAGACUUUGAGCCACACAUUUACUUUUUACUGCUUAUGAGCAUUGAGUGUGGUCAAGCUGUGUAAACCCUUAGGAGCUUGUCAUGUGGUUAAAUCAAGAUUCACUUGCACGUUCACUCAUACAUGCUGCUUCUACUCUGGAAGUACGCAUCCACAUAUAUCGAUCCAUUUCCAUCUCUUGAACCACCCAAAAAUAUUCUACUCCUAAUCAGGGAGAGAAUAGCCAAAAACAUUUCUGUUUUCUUCUGUGAAAUAAAUGCUCAAGUUAUCUUGGUUACUACCACUUGCUAUAUUAUUUCAGGAGAUGAGUGCUCUAAUAAUAAAAAAAGAAAAAAAAGAGAUACGAGGAAUUAAAAAGGGGCAAGUGCCCGGAACCUCGAAGAAAAGAAAAAGUGAGACGAGAGGUAAAAAUGGACAAGUGUCCGACAGUAGAAAUAGGGGUACAAGAUACCCACCUGAGAGAAAAGAAAAAAAAAGAAAAAGAAAAUAUAGAGCAUCUCAUUCUCCUCAAAAAGUUUCAAAAGUGCAAGAAAGGUAUGUAUCCCCUCAAAAGAGCAUAAGUAGAAUUAGACUUUCACCAUUGUAAUCACCAUCAUCACCAUAUACCAUUCAUUCACCACACAUGCACAUCUUGAUUUGACUUAUUGACUUGAUCUUCUGGAUCCAUGGUUUGACUAUGCAAUAAAUGUCUUGUAAGUAUGUAUUAGCUGUCUCCUACCUAUGAGCUCCAAAUAUCAAAACCUUAUUAGAGUAGGGUGAGAGAGAAGUCAAUGCCACUAUGCCUCAUACCAAAAAUAUCACAUACUUUGAGAGAAGGCAUACACCAUUACUGCCCUAGUAAGGAUCCAAAAAUACCACAAAAGAGAGACUAGAGAGGGUUAUACAAGGAAUCUCUGAGUUUUAUUUGAAAAUCUACAAAAACUCCAGAGCUAUAGUUAAUCGAAGAACAUGAGACAUGGCGCUUGACUAGACCGUUCUAUCUUUUAACUACUCAAGACACAAGUGAUGGUUACAAGCCCCAUGGUGGAAGGUAAAAUGGGUAAGUUUUAAAUCUUAAAAGUUUACCAUAGCCCAAAGAUGAGAUUUUGUUUGAACGCAUGUGUACCUUUAAGGCAUGAAACCAAUGCAGAAACUCUUGAGUUCAUCUUUGCUCAGGGACGAGCAAAGGUUAAGCUUGGGGGAGCUUGUUGACGGUCCUUAAUGCUCACAUUUAACCGUCAACUAAUCAUGGAAAAGGAUCUAAAUGGAACCAACACCUAGACUUAGGGUUUUAUCUGACAGAAUUCCGCGAGUUUUGGUGUUUGUCUAUUUCUGCAGGGGAUCAGGAAAUACGGAAGAAAGGCCCACACGUUGGGUUUACAUAGAGAUAUUAACGUGCUGCGCAAUUUUCUACCAUCUAGAAGACUCCAGAAGCCACGGGAACAAAGCGGAAGCCGAGAGGACUCAGGGACAGGGCGCCCGCCCUACUCUCCUGGGCGCCCGCCCUCACAUAGAGUCCAAUCAGGACUCUCUUUCGGGAUAUUGCUCCACCGACCUAAAGGAUCAAGGAAAACCAUGUGAUUAAUGUCGGUUUGAUCCAACGGCCCAUAUUUACUUGAAGGGACUAUAAAACCAGACCCCCUGGCCCCUGGAGAUCAUACCUCUUCUACAGAAUCAAAGUUAGGGUUUCAAUUCUUCAUCCAA